This 1087-nucleotide ribosomal RNA is filed under the name Cylindrocladiella camelliae. RNAcentral's name for it is "partial 18S ribosomal RNA". It matches the Rfam family "Eukaryotic small subunit ribosomal RNA", at positions 38 to 1116 of the family's 1831-position model. The record is from RNAcentral. Lineage: Eukaryota; Fungi; Ascomycota; Sordariomycetes; Hypocreales; Nectriaceae.
UNANNANNNANCNAUNNNNNNNNANGNNNNAGCAAUUAUACAGCGAAACUGCGAAUGGCUCAUUAUAUAAGUUAUCGUUUAUUUGAUAGUACCUUACUACUUGGAUAACCGUGGUAAUUCUAGAGCUAAUACAUGCUAAAAAUCCCGACUUCGGAAGGGAUGUAUUUAUUAGAUUAAAAACCAAUGCCCUUCGGGGCUCCUUGGUGAUUCAUGAUAACUUCUCGAAUCGCAUGGCCUUGUGCCGGCGAUGGUUCAUUCAAAUUUCUUCCCUAUCAACUUUCGAUGUUUGGGUAUUGGCCAAACAUGGUUGCAACGGGUAACGGAGGGUUAGGGCUCGACCCCGGAGAAGGAGCCUGAGAAACGGCUACUACAUCCAAGGAAGGCAGCAGGCGCGCAAAUUACCCAAUCCCGACACGGGGAGGUAGUGACAAUAAAUACUGAUACAGGGCUCUUUAGGGUCUUGUAAUUGGAAUGAGUACAAUUUAAAUCUCUUAACGAGGAACAAUUGGAGGGCAAGUCUGGUGCCAGCAGCCGCGGUAAUUCCAGCUCCAAUAGCGUAUAUUAAAGUUGUUGUGGUUAAAAAGCUCGUAGUUGAACCUUGGGCCUGGCUGGCCGGUCCGCCUCACCGCGUGUACUGGUCCGGCCGGGCCUUUCCCUCUGUGGAACCUCAUGCCCUUCACUGGGUGUGGCGGGGAAACAGGACUUUUACUUUGAAAAAAUUAGAGUGCUCCAGGCAGGCCUAUGCUCGAAUACAUUAGCAUGGAAUAAUAGAAUAGGACGUGUGGUUCUAUUUUGUUGGUUUCUAGGACCGCCGUAAUGAUUAAUAGGGACAGUCGGGGGCAUCAGUAUUCAAUUGUCAGAGGUGAAAUUCUUGGAUUUAUUGAAGACUAACUACUGCGAAAGCAUUUGCCAAGGAUGUUUUCAUUAAUCAGGAACGAAAGUUAGGGGAUCGAAGACGAUCAGAUACCGUCGUAGUCUUAACCAUAAACUAUGCCGACUAGGGAUCGGACGGUGUUAUUUUUUGACCCGUUCGGCACCUUACGAGAAAUCAAAGUGCUUGNCUCCANGNNNNGNNGNAGNNNAANNA